UGCCUACGGGGGGCAGCAGUGGGGGAUAUUGCACAAUGGGGGGAACCCUGAUGCAGCGACGCCGCGUGAGCGAAGAAGUACCUCGGUAUGUAAAGCUCUAUCAGCAGGGAAGAAAAUGACGGUACCUGACUAAGAAGCCCCGGCUAAAUACGUGCCAGCAGCCGCGGUAAUACGUAUGGGGCAAGCGUUAUCCGGAUUUACUGGGUGUAAAGGGGGCGCAGACGGCGAUGCAAGCCAGGAGUGAAAGCCCGGGGCCCAACCCCGGGACUGCUCUUGGAACUGCGUGGCUGGAGUGCAGGAGGGGC
This 305-nucleotide ribosomal RNA is filed under the name uncultured bacterium. RNAcentral describes it as "bacterial SSU rRNA". It matches the Rfam family "Bacterial small subunit ribosomal RNA", at positions 335 to 658 of the family's 1533-position model. The record is from RNAcentral.